UUGAUUCAUUUAUAAACCUGGACGCUGAGGGCUCCACUGGAAAAAAGGGUCUGGUGGUCCUCCGGCGGGCGCCUGGGUCCGGGCCGCGGGGGGCGCCGGGGCGGUCCCGCCGAGGCAACGGGUUUCUCGGUUCACAUGGGGUUUGGGAGUCUUGGAACUCGGUAAUGAUCCCUCCGCUGGUUCACCAACGGAGA
Molecule: unclassified non-coding RNA, 194 nt
Filed under: uncultured fungus
Lineage: Eukaryota; Fungi
Description: sequence contains ITS1
Source: RNAcentral